UGGGGAAUAUUGCACAAUGGGCGCAAGCCUGAUGCAGCCAUGCCGCGUGUGUGAAGAAGGCCUUCGGGUUGUAAAGCACUUUCAGCGGGGAGGAAGGCGGUGAGGUUAAUAACCUCAUCGAUUGACGUUACCCGCAGAAGAAGCACCGGCUAACUCCGUGCCAGCAGCCGCGGUAAUACGGAGGGUGCAAGCGUUAAUCGGAAUUACUGGGCGUAAAGCGCACGCAGGCGGUCUGUCAAGUCGGAUGUGAAAUCCCCGGGCUCAACCUGGGAACUGCAUUCGAAACUGGCAGGGUAGAGUCUUGUAGAGGGGGGUAGAAUUCCAGGUGUAGCGGUGAAAUGCGUAGAGAUCUGGAGGAAUACCGGUGGCGAAGGCGGCCCCCUGGACAAAGACUGACGCUCAGGUGCGAAAGCGUGGGGAGCAAACAGG
RNAcentral lists this ribosomal RNA (429 nucleotides) under Chloroflexota bacterium. Its description in RNAcentral is "Chloroflexi bacterium partial 16S ribosomal RNA". It matches the Rfam family "Bacterial small subunit ribosomal RNA", at positions 355 to 776 of the family's 1533-position model. The record is from RNAcentral. Lineage: Bacteria; Bacillati; Chloroflexota.